AACGUAGGUGGCGAGCGUUAUCCGGAUUUACUGGGCGUAAAGCAUGUGCAGACGGGUUGGUAAGUGGUGUAUGAAAGCGUCCGGCUUAACCGGGCAAGGGUAUGCCAGACUGCCAGUCUUGAGAAUGGGAGAGGGAUGUGGAAUUCCGGGUGUAGUGGUGAAAUGCGUAGAGAUCCGGAGGAACCCCAGAGGCGAAGGCGGCGUCCUGGCCCAUUUCUGACGUUCAGACAUGACAGCAUGGGGAGCGAACGGG
RNAcentral lists this ribosomal RNA (253 nucleotides) under uncultured bacterium. Its description in RNAcentral is "partial 16S ribosomal RNA". It matches the Rfam family "Bacterial small subunit ribosomal RNA", at positions 524 to 776 of the family's 1533-position model. The record is from RNAcentral.